This 633-nucleotide ribosomal RNA is filed under the name uncultured bacterium. RNAcentral describes it as "bacterial SSU rRNA". It matches the Rfam family "Bacterial small subunit ribosomal RNA", at positions 61 to 731 of the family's 1533-position model. The record is from RNAcentral.
GUCGAACGGGAAGCCCCUUCGGGUGGCCGAGAGUGGCGCACGGGUGAGUAACGCGUGGGAAUCUGCCCUGGAGUGGGGGACAACCGCUGGAAACGGCGGCUAAUACCGCAUACGCCCUUAGGGGGAAAGCUUUAUGCGCUCCAGGAUGAGCCCGCGUCGGAUUAGCUUGUUGGUGAGGUAACGGCUCACCAAGGCUUCGAUCCGUAGCUGGUCUGAGAGGAUGAUCAGCCACACUGGGACUGAGACACGGCCCAGACUCCUACGGGAGGCAGCAGUGGGGAAUAUUGGACAAUGGGGGCAACCCUGAUCCAGCAAUGCCGCGUGUGUGAAGAAGGCCUUCGGGUUGUAAAGCACUUUCACUCGCGAAGAUGAUGACGGUAGCGAGAGAAGAAGCCCCGGCUAACUCCGUGCCAGCAGCCGCGGUAAUACGGAGGGGGCUAGCGUUGUUCGGAAUUACUGGGCGUAAAGGGCGUGUAGGCGGCUUUGCCAGUCAGGCGUGAAAGCCCCGGGCUUAACCUGGGAACUGCGUUUGAUACUGCGAGGCUAGAGUUCGGGAGAGGAGAGUGGAAUUCCCAGUGUAGAGGUGAAAUUCGUAGAUAUUGGGAAGAACACCAGUGGCGAAGCGGCUCUCUG